Molecule: small nucleolar RNA, 129 nt
Filed under: Sorex araneus (European shrew)
Lineage: Eukaryota; Metazoa; Chordata; Mammalia; Eulipotyphla; Soricidae
Description: Small nucleolar RNA SNORA31 (ENSSARG00000018616.1)
Rfam family: Small nucleolar RNA SNORA31
About the family: ACA31 (SNORA31) belongs to the H/ACA class of snoRNAs which are thought to guide the sites of modification of uridines to pseudouridines. ACA31 is predicted to guide the pseudouridylation of U3713 in 28S rRNA and U218 in 18S rRNA.
Source: RNAcentral
UUUCAAUCAAUCAAAGUGUUGAUCAAUUUGCUCUUGUUCUUUUGGUUUGCACUAGGAUGCAAAAGGAAAAUAAUCCCAGUGCUUUCUGUCUAUCUCUGUGGUAUCCAGAUUGAAUAGGGAAGAAUAUCU